GUCUUUUGAUGUGUUUUUAGUGUUUUUCUGUGCAGGUCACGAGUUGAGGUGAUGAAGUGAUUUUCUAUCAUUUUAGGUUGUUUUUGGUGCAUUAUUUGCAAGAAUAGAGAAUUGUGGAUUCAUCGCGACUUGGGAUUUUGUGGGUAUAUCUUCUACAAACCCUCACGAGAGCACACUCGUCCACUAGAGCUAUCUAGGGGUUUAAAGGGCUUGUUGCAUGUGCUAAAUGCAACCGUGAUCACCUACGGAAGUGGUACUAGAGCGAGGAAGGACAUGCACGCGAGAACGAGCUGAAAACGAAGAAUCAGGGCUGCCAGGGCAGACAGUAGCGCGCCCGCGCUAACCUCUAGCGCGCCCGCGCUACCUACUGCUGCCACUAGCGCGCCUGCGCUAGUUUAGCGCGGUCGCGCCCAGCAGAAGUGCCCCGGGCCGAUUUUUACAGCUUUUCUGACGGAUUUUAGCAGCGGUCGAGGCCCGGUUGACUUGGUCAAUUUAUUUUAAUUUCUCGUGUGUAAAACCCUAGCCUCCAAG
RNAcentral lists this long non-coding RNA (531 nucleotides) under Daucus carota (carrot). Its description in RNAcentral is "long non-coding RNA (DCAR_LNC000188)". The record is from RNAcentral. Lineage: Eukaryota; Viridiplantae; Streptophyta; Magnoliopsida; Apiales; Apiaceae.